GGCCACCUCGUCGCCCCGGCCACCGUUGACGACCGCGCGCAAGAGGUCCGCCGCGCCGGCCGGCACUGGCGCCGGGAGGGCCUUUUUUUUAAGUUAGAAAAUUAAGUUAGAUUUUUGUAUAUGUGUUUAAGUUAGAUUUUUAAGUUAGAUUUUUUUAAGUUAGAUUUUUAAGUUAGAUUUUUUUAAGUUAGAUUUUUAAGUUAGAUUUUUAAGUUAGAUUUUUUUUAAGUACGAUUUUUGUAUAUGUGUCCCCUCCGCUGUCCUGCCGCCGUGACCGCCGCCGUCAACACCUAGUAGGCACCGCCCGUGGUUCCGGGGAACCGUCCCCGCCUCCGCCGUACCGCCGCCCUGACCGCCGCCGUCACAACCUAGGCACCACCCGUGGUUCCGGGGAACCGUCCCCGCCUCCGCCGUACCACUGCCCUGACCGCCGCCCUGACCGCCGCCGUCACAACCUAGGCACCGCAUGUGGUUAUUGCUAGAAAUUCGUAAAAAUUCAUGUUAUUGCUAGAAAUUCGUAAAAAUUCAUGUUAUUGCUAGAAAUUCGUAAAAAUUCAUGUUAUUGCUAGAAAUUCGUAAAAAUUCAUGUUAUUGCUAGAAAUUCGUAAAAAUUCAUGUUAUUGCUAGAAAUUCGUAAAAAUUCAUGUUAUUCCUAGAAAUUCGUAAAAAUUCAUGUUAUUGCUAGAAAUUCGUCAC
This 696-nucleotide long non-coding RNA is filed under the name Setaria viridis. Its description in RNAcentral is "long non-coding RNA (SVIR_LNC008165)". Lineage: Eukaryota; Viridiplantae; Streptophyta; Magnoliopsida; Poales; Poaceae. The record is from RNAcentral.